AUGCGUAAAAUUCUUCUACAGAGAACCUUUAUCAAUGCAAACCAAAGCUUGUGGAAUGAUAUGAAAAUGCAGAACAAGUUCGAUCCGCCGUGCACCGCUCAACCGUCGUUGCAGAUCCAGACGGUUUCACCUUCAUUGUUGUUUUCGGGACAUCCUUCAUUGCUGUACCUCUGUUUCUUGCUGUUUGCAACCCUUGAUUGUUUGGUUCUCAUCUUUGUUGGAGUUUCUCAUUGGCAUUCCUUCGAUCCUCUCCUAACAGUAGAUCUCGACUCUCCUAGCUCGAGACAAUUUGUUUCUCUUUAUGGACUCCUUAAGUAA
This is a non-coding RNA of Vicia faba (fava bean), 318 nucleotides long. The record is from the annotation of a GenBank genome assembly. Lineage: Eukaryota; Viridiplantae; Streptophyta; Magnoliopsida; Fabales; Fabaceae.